CGUUGUCCGGAUUAUUGGGCGUAAAGAGCUUGUAGGCGGUUUGUCGCGUCUGCUGUGAAAGGCCGGGGCUUAACUCCGUGUAUUGCAGUGGGUACGGGCAGACUAGAGUGCAGUAGGGGAGACUGGAAUUCCUGGUGUAGCGGUGGAAUGCGCAGAUAUCAGGAGGAACACCGAUGGCGAAGGCAGGUCUCUGGGCUGUAACUGACGCUGAGAAGCGAAAGCAUGGGGAGCGAACAGGAUUAGAUACCCUGGUAGUCCAUGCCGUAAACGUUGGGCACUAGGUGUGGGGGACAUUCCACGUUUUCCGCGCCGUAGCUAACGCAUUAAGUGCCCCGCCUGGGGAGUACGGCCGCAAGGCUAAAACUCAAAGAAAUUGACGGGGGCCCGCACAAGCGGCGGAGCAUGCGGAUUAAUUCGAUGCAACGCGAAGAACCUUACCAAGGCUUGACAUAUACUGGACCGCAUCAGAGAUGGUGUUUCCCUUCGGGGCUGGUAUACAGGUGGUGCAUGGUUGUCGUCAGCUCGUGUCGUGA
Molecule: ribosomal RNA, 533 nt
Filed under: uncultured bacterium
Lineage: Bacteria
Description: bacterial SSU rRNA
Rfam family: Bacterial small subunit ribosomal RNA
Source: RNAcentral